GGGUGCGAUCAUACCAGCACUAAUUCACUGGAUCCCAUCAGAACUCCGCAGUUAAGCGUGCUUGGGCGAG
Molecule: ribosomal RNA, 70 nt
Filed under: Gossypium arboreum
Lineage: Eukaryota; Viridiplantae; Streptophyta; Magnoliopsida; Malvales; Malvaceae
Source: RNAcentral